This 86-nucleotide transfer RNA is filed under the name Thermoactinomyces sp. RNAcentral describes it as "tRNA-Leu". It matches the Rfam family "tRNA". From Rfam's summary of the family: Transfer RNA (tRNA) molecules are approximately 80 nucleotides in length. Their secondary structure includes four short double-helical elements and three loops (D, anti-codon, and T loops). Further hydrogen bonds mediate the characteristic L-shaped molecular structure. tRNAs have two regions of fundamental functional importance: the anti-codon, which is responsible for specific mRNA codon recognition, and the 3' end, to which the tRNAs corresponding amino acid is attached (by aminoacyl-tRNA synthetases). tRNAs cope with the degeneracy of the genetic code in two manners: having more than one tRNA (with a specific anti-codon) for a particular amino acid; and 'wobble' base-pairing, i.e. permitting non-standard base-pairing at the 3rd anti-codon position. The record is from RNAcentral. RNAcentral also lists the same sequence under 1 other name. Lineage: Bacteria; Bacillati; Bacillota; Bacilli; Caryophanales; Thermoactinomycetaceae.
GCCGAAGUGGCGGAAUUGGCAGACGCGCACGACUCAAAAUCGUGUUCCCGAAAGGAGUGUGGGUUCGAGUCCCACCUUCGGCACCA